AUGAAUACGAUGGUACAACGGUA
Molecule: non-coding RNA, 23 nt
Filed under: Arabidopsis thaliana (thale cress)
Lineage: Eukaryota; Viridiplantae; Streptophyta; Magnoliopsida; Brassicales; Brassicaceae
Source: RNAcentral